UAGGCGUACAGGGAGAUCCCUGCAAGCGGAUUUCCCCCUCGCACCCUUGUUUUUAAAGACUUUUAUCUGCACAUUGAGGGAAUGAUUUGAGUUUACCGUCUCCACCUUGUCCCUGGCCUCUAUGAAUCCCCUCCAACAGACCUCAGUACAGCAGUCCCCCCUUAUCUGCAGAUUACGGUCCAACAGCCACCGGGGAAUUACCAGCUGAGAUGCUGUUUUUCCCAGGAUUGUGUCUUGGAGGCAAUGAAAAAUGAAGCCAGCAGACAAGAGUAUGGAGCAACCAGAAAGUUCAAUAGAGGAGUGAAAAAAGAAAGGAAAGCUUCUGCUUAUCAGGAGGUCGUCCAAGGGAGGACGCCAUUAGAGCUUCACUGUCUAGGGUUUAUAAACACAAAAAUGGAGUAAACCACAAGUGGCUGGGAGUUGUUGCUAGGGCCUAUUGCUAUGGCAGAGCUAGGAUCAAAGGAAAAGAAAAAUUCCCUUUUUCCUCAGGCUGCAUCUUCUCCGAUGUCAGGGAUGAGGAUUCUUUACUUCAAAGCCUUGACCCUAGUUCCCUUGUGCCUGAGCCUUACUGGGAAGGACCUUGAGUUCUAUCUGCCUGUGUCUGACUAACACCUGCCUCAAGGGGAUGCCUGAAACCAUACCUAACUCUCGAUACACUGAUUUUUCCAUACAUAUAUACUUGUGAUAAAGUUUAACUUAUUAAUUAGUCACAUUAAGAGAUUAAUAAUAACUAACAAUAAAACAAGAGUAAUUCUAACAGUA
Long non-coding RNA from Manis pentadactyla (Chinese pangolin), 762 nucleotides. RefSeq lists it as uncharacterized. The transcript has 2 exons. The record is from RefSeq and is a predicted model, not a curated record. NCBI's taxonomy places the organism in Eukaryota, Metazoa, Chordata, Mammalia, Pholidota, Manidae.